This 864-nucleotide long non-coding RNA is filed under the name Panax ginseng (ginseng). Its description in RNAcentral is "long non-coding RNA (PGIN_LNC002869)". The record is from RNAcentral. Lineage: Eukaryota; Viridiplantae; Streptophyta; Magnoliopsida; Apiales; Araliaceae.
AGAAGAGGGGAAGGUGAACCAAAUCCCAUAUACAACCAAAACCACACUCAUCCUCUCUCUUUCUUUCUUUCUUCCUUUUUCUAUUCUUCUUCCCCUUUUUCUUUUAAUCUAAUCCUCCUGUCUUACUGAACCAACUCUAGAAUCUCUCUCUCUCUCCCCUUUUUCUUGUUUGAUGAUAGAUCACCAAUAGAAUAAAGAAAAGCAACUACUAUCUCUCUAUCUAUCCUCUUAUUAUAUGCUCAAGAAUAGCUAAACCCCACUAGGACAUUUUUUUCCCAUAUGCCCCCACUACAACUAACUCAAAAUAACAAUAUUUUAUAUUCCUACUACCAUCUUGGUUUUAUACAAGGCUGAAAAAAUUACUCUAAAUUCCAAACGUUUGUUUCAUCUCCAUCCUUCUAAAGAUCCAAUCCAAAUAUACUAUCCCAUCUAAUUCAUAUUCAUUUUUUAUAACGUUAACUAUGAAUAAUUAAUAGCUGGUACCAAUCAAAUUCAUUAGAUAUAUGGUUGUUAGAAAUCUCAGUGAUGGGGUCAUCUCAUAAUAGAAAUAAGUUUGGUUGAUUAAUAGAAGAUACUCAUCAUAUGAAAAGAAGGGAUAUAUUAGUCAGAACUCGUCACAAAGCCAAAUGUGGAUGUUAGUUCCACAAACAUGGUAUAUACAUAUAUAAAGUAGUAAUUAAAUGAAAUCAGGUGCAUGUUUGGAAGAUUUUGGUGUUAGUUAAAUUAAUAAUCUAAGUUUGGUCCGAGUUUAGACAAAUUGAAGAAAGGCCGAGAUCACACCUUGUCUUUACCGCACUUUUUUAAUAGUACCUUACUUUACACCUAACUGAAGCUCACGCAUACUUACUGUCCUUCCUUUCUUCC